GGUCACAGUAAUGGUCCCUGUGGGUCUCUAUUGGUAAAUUGCUUUCUUCUAUUGGUGGUAUGUAGUGUCUUGGAUUGCCACCAUACGUCAUUUGGAAAGGUUAUUUUUAAUUCAUUUAAUGUUUUUUUUUUUUUUUUUUUAAAUCACCUCGACUCGUCAUGGCCUUCAAAAUUGACUUGAAAAGUUGGACUUUGUUUUGUCUGUCGGAUUUGGUCCAAAUUUAGCCCAAAAAUAGAUGUGAAAUAACAGUGAAAUUCUGCGUGACUUCCACGUGCUGUAAUGUGCGCGCGCGCAGAACUGGAGCGGAGGACGUCACCAUGGAAACGAGGCGGCAGCCCAACCGUCAAGCAGCUGAUCGCUGACACUCAAUGUGGUUUCACUUUUUUUUAGGUAAGUUUAGUCUAUUAAAUUACACAAAUAGUACAUUAAAGUGUUCCUGACACUUUAUUUCAUGUAAAUUAUACGCUUUCGUUUAAUACUUACUUUAUAUAAAUGGUUUAGCGUCGUCAGAAAAAGUCCGUUAGCAUCUCAAAGAAGUGCCAGAAAAAAACCUCUAUGACGCAGGAGAAGUUCCUGAUUUUAACAUUUCUGAAGGGGGCUGCUGACAGAGAGGAUGAAAACAUACACAUUUUGAUGUCCACGCUGUAGGAGCAUUACUAAAUAAUGCUUAUGUUCCUAGGUUCUUCCAUGCUGAUGGCUGUGCUCUAGAGUCAUAUCUCCUGUCGAAGAACAUUUUUAGACAUUAUGAACCAUGAAUAAGUUUAGCUCCAACCCCAGUUAAGCAGACCUGAGCAGCUGAUCAAGGAUCAGCAGAAACUCUGCAGAACGGUGGUCCUCCAGCCUAGGACUGGACACCAGUGUUAGUGUCUGUCUCAGAAGCUGAAGAAAAAAGGCCACACCUUAUAGGAAAUAAACGCCUCCUAAGUGUAUGGAAAUACCUGGCUGAGGAGAUCAGUGACAUAAACCAGAUAAAACUGUCAGUGGUCUGAGACAGCUACAAGCCACAAAAAUAGUUCAUAGUUCCUGCAUUUCUAUAAUGCAUUAAUGAAUAACAAUAAUUAAAAUAAAAUGUAAUGUCAAGGUUUUGUGUUAAUUCCAGCUAUGUUGAGUAUUCUGUGAAUAAUUUUGAUUUUAGGUGCAUAUUCUUAAUUCUUUGCAAAACAACCUGAACUGUUUGCUAUUGAAAGGUUGGUAUGAAGUUUAAAUAAAUAAAACCAUUAUAUUCUUGACAAAACCUGUGUACAGUUUGUAUUAAUAAUUUAAAUUAUUUACUUAUAUUAAUUAAUGGCCUAAUUACCAGCUAUCAGUUAAACAUUCAAAUCAGAACCAAUAUAAAACUGCAACGAAAACUAUUAAAUAUAUGCAAAUAAAGACCAGUACAAAUUGCAAUGGAACCAUCAGAACCAUUACAAAACCAACGGAAACCAUUAAAUUUGUUUUAAUAAAGACCAAUACAAACUUGUAAUGGAACCAUUACAAAACCAACAGAAACCAUUAAAUUUGUUUUAAUAAAGACCAAUACAAACUUGUAAUGGAACCAUCAGAACCAUUACAAAACCAACAGAAACCAUUAAAUUUGUUUUAAUAAAGACCAAUACAAACUUGUAAUGGAACCAUCAAAACCAUUACAAAACCAACAGAAACCAUUAAAUUUGUUUUAAUAAAGACCAAUACAAACUUGUAAUGGAACCAUCAGAACCAUUACAAAACCAACAGAAACCAUUAAAUUUGUUUUAAUAAAGACCAAUACAGACUUGUAAUGGAACCAUCAGAACCAUUACAAAACCAACAGAAACCAUUAAAUUUGUUUUAAUAAAGACCAAUACAAACUUUUAAUGGAACCAUCAGAACCAUUACAAAACCAACAGAAACCAUUACAUUUGUUUUAAUAAAGACCAAUACAAACUUGUAAUGGAACCAUCAGAACCAAUACAAAACUGUGAUGGAAACCAUUAUGUGCAAAUCGUGACCAAUACAAACUUGUAAUGGAAACCAAUACAAACCAAUAAAUCCUAAUGGAAUAUGCCCAAAACACACUACGUAAUGGAAACCAUUUGGUAAUGGUUUUAAUGGUUAAUUGCUGAUGGUUUGUAAUGGUUUUGUAAUGGAAACCAUUAGAAUUUCUGUAAUGGUUUCUAUUGUUUUUUUCAGCAGGGC
This is a long non-coding RNA of Carassius gibelio (silver crucian carp), 2157 nucleotides long. RefSeq lists it as uncharacterized. Lineage: Eukaryota; Metazoa; Chordata; Actinopteri; Cypriniformes; Cyprinidae. The transcript is spliced from 6 exons. The record is from RefSeq and is a predicted model, not a curated record.